Ictalurus punctatus (channel catfish) is the source of this 1224-nucleotide long non-coding RNA. Lineage: Eukaryota; Metazoa; Chordata; Actinopteri; Siluriformes; Ictaluridae. The record is from Ensembl.
AUUCAUUUUUACUUUGUAAUUUUGUUCUUGUUCUGUUCAUUCGCAUCAGAGGAUAAUGCCUAAGAAACCCAUGUCAUGCCACUUAGAUCAGUACAGAAUGUUUAUCUGCAUGCAGAGACACAAACAUGUUCUUCUGCUCAAGGUUCGUCUGUACAUCUUCUAAAACCCUGAAACAAAGCCUGUUUGAACUGCCUCAAACUGCUUCUUAUUGGUACACAGAAGUGUGUCAUGCUCUGUAUUUCAUAUAUAUAGUAGUAGUUCAGCACAAGCGCUCCAGAGGAUUCUCAUUAUUCUAUCCUGCUUUAUUCUAUCCUGUAUUAACCAUCUUUCUGUAAUAAACCUUUUUCAACUCAGAGGACGACUGUUGUCUAAUUUCCACGCUAUAAGCGAGUUUCAAGGCUCUAGGAGCAAAGCAAAGCAGUUUUUUCUAACAAACGGAUAUAAUUACUUGCGUGACCUGCUUGAAUCAGACAUGUUUCACAUAUUUACGACAUCAUAUGAUACUACGACAUCUUUCACUUCAUUUGAUACUAUGAUGUUUCACAAGUUUCUGAUGUAAAAUGAUAUGAAUUAUGAUUGCUUGCAUUAAGAUCUAUAUUAUGAUAAAGUAUCAAAAUAUGAAAAAAAAAACCUGACAAUUGACGUGUAGAAUGUCAUUUUUCAUCACAUUGUGUGUUCUCAUUCAUCCUGUGUGUCCAUACACACAGGUGCGCUUCAUGCGCUGAAAAUGCUAUACUUAGAUUUAGGGCUGCACAGUUAAUCGAAUAUAGAUCACAAUUACCAUUUUGACUGCCCACAAUUACAUGAACAUGAUUGACUGCGAUAUUGACAUUUAAAGUAGGUUCUCCGCUCAUAGAAAACUCCACUGCAGAUCAAAUCAAGAGCUUCCUAAACUUACAGCCAGUCACCAUAGAGCGGCGCAGGGAUGUCAUCAUUUUGCAAUGCCAAAAUCUGGAAAUGAGUUAGCAUUUUAGCACUAAAGCUGCCAGCUUUGCUUGUGCAAUGGGAAAUCACGACACUAACAUGUUGCUAAAUGCAGAUAAACUCACGGCUCAACAGUGUUGUAUAUAAAAUAUGCAUGAAAUAAACACGAGGGAGACCUAUUAUGAGUAAUAUGUAAUCUUAUUGAGAAUUCACUGGGCUGGUGGACUGUAUGAACGGAUGUUCACCUAAGACACAACACACAGAUAAGCAAGGUGCAGGGGGAUAACAAUACAUGUAUUU